GAUGAACGCUGGCGGCGUGCUUAACACAUGCAAGUCGAACGAAGCACUUUAUUUGAUUUCCUUCGGGACUGAUUAUUUUGUGACUGAGUGGCGGACGGGCGAGUAACGCGUGGGUAACCUGCCUUGUACAGGGGGAUAACAGUUGGAAACGGCUGCUAAUACCGCAUAAGCGCACAGCAUCGCAUGAUGCAGUGUGAAAAACUCCGGUGGUAUAAGAUGGACCCGCGUUGGAUUAGCUAGUUGGUGAGGUAACGGCCCACCAAGGCGACGAUCCAUAGCCGACCUGAGAGGGUGACCGGCCACAUUGGGACUGAGACACGGCCCAAACUCCUACGGGAGGCAGCAGUGGGGAAUAUUGCACAAUGGGCGAAAGCCUGAUGCAGCGACGCCGCGUGAGCGAAGAAGUAUUUCGGUAUGUAAAGCUCUAUCAGCAGGGAAGAUAAUGACGGUACCUGACUAAGAAGCACCGGCUAAAUACGUG
This 481-nucleotide ribosomal RNA is filed under the name uncultured bacterium. RNAcentral describes it as "partial 16S ribosomal RNA". It matches the Rfam family "Bacterial small subunit ribosomal RNA", at positions 28 to 507 of the family's 1533-position model. The record is from RNAcentral.